GGGCGGCUAGCUCAGGGGUAGAGCAUCUGACUUUUAAUCAGAUGGUCGCGGGUUCGAAUCCCGCGCCGCUCA
Molecule: transfer RNA, 72 nt
Filed under: Spirochaetales bacterium
Lineage: Bacteria; Pseudomonadati; Spirochaetota; Spirochaetia; Spirochaetales
Also listed under: 1 other name
Description: tRNA-Lys
Rfam family: tRNA
About the family: Transfer RNA (tRNA) molecules are approximately 80 nucleotides in length. Their secondary structure includes four short double-helical elements and three loops (D, anti-codon, and T loops). Further hydrogen bonds mediate the characteristic L-shaped molecular structure. tRNAs have two regions of fundamental functional importance: the anti-codon, which is responsible for specific mRNA codon recognition, and the 3' end, to which the tRNAs corresponding amino acid is attached (by aminoacyl-tRNA synthetases). tRNAs cope with the degeneracy of the genetic code in two manners: having more than one tRNA (with a specific anti-codon) for a particular amino acid; and 'wobble' base-pairing, i.e. permitting non-standard base-pairing at the 3rd anti-codon position.
Source: RNAcentral